Long non-coding RNA from Populus euphratica (Euphrates poplar), 1907 nucleotides. RefSeq lists it as uncharacterized. The transcript is spliced from 4 exons. Lineage: Eukaryota; Viridiplantae; Streptophyta; Magnoliopsida; Malpighiales; Salicaceae. The record is from RefSeq and is a predicted model, not a curated record.
AACUAAAACGAAACGCUCUUUUACUAUUCGGUUUCUCACUGUAGAAAUGGCAUUUUGUAAUUUUGGGUAAGCUUGGGUUUAUGUGAAAAAGGCAGUCUGUGAUUGAAGGGGAGGCUUGGGUUUUGUGGGAUUCAUCAUCAUCAUCAUUGCUGGGAUCUGUCCAUGGUAGGUAUGGUAGUCACAGUCCUCAAGGCUAGAUUGAUUUUUUUGUGGCGGUUUUGAGUCGUGGCUUGAAUUAGAUUGGAGUAUUUCUUUGAGUUUCUACAUUAUGAUUACAAUUUGUCAGCCAUAUUGCUGGAAUGCGCAAAAUUUCAGUGUCAAAAUAGCAGUGUUGGGGGAUUUUCAGAGCUUUGUUAGCUGGGUUAACAGGCUUUUGGUUUUUCCUUUUUUUUUUAAAAAAAAAUUUGGAUUUGGCUACCCAGUGUUGAGGUUGAUGAGAUAAAUUGAUGGGUGAUCGUGUUGAUUUGAUUUGGAAGGUUUCAUCUAUCUCAUUUGACGUUCUUGCUUGGAUGAAUGUAUAUUUAAAUAUUGUGGUUAGCUUCUUCUUCUUCUUCUUCUUCUUUUUCCAGUGCUUUCUCUUACACAUAAAAAGUUCCAUGGCUAGCAGAUUCUUAAAUUGGUUUGAACCCUUUUAUAGGGAAUUGCUUGAUUUCCUUUUUAAUCUUGUUUUAGCGUUUCUUUUUUUCAUCUAUUCUAUUUCUUUUAUCUAUCUGUUUUGGAGGAUUUGUUUGUGUUGAGUUAUUUCUCUUGGGAAUGUGUCAUCUGCAGCAACUCUUGCAUUAUAGGUUUUAAAUAUUGCCUAUGUUACUUAUCAUCAACCUUUAUUUGACAUGUGUUCAAGUUGUCAUUUUUUACGAGUUUUUCCAUUUGUAUGUUGCACGAUCACAAACUGUGUGAUGAUUGUGCAUUUAAUGUGAAGAUUAUCUUCAAUGGUCAAGGGUGUUGGUAGAUACUGAUUUGAUAUUUAGUUUGAUUACAACACUGUGUUUGGUUCGUUAAUGACUCUGUUUCCUGUUAUGUGUAGGAACUAUGCCAAACAACAAAUAGUUCUUCUUCAAAUAACGAGUUUCUGGUUCAAAUUUGACUAAACCAAUUUUAACUUCUCCACUCAAUGUGGAAUUGGUUUAGGAAUUCUAAUGUAAUAAUGAUUCUUGGCUCUUUUUUUUUUUGUGUACACGUGUUUGUUUUACAGAUUUCUUUUAUGUUUCACAGUGUUUGAUGGAAUUCCAAGUAUUAUUCACUGGUAUAAAUCAAUGUCUUCCUGAGUGUUUUUGGCUUUUGGUCCGUCUGGAUUCUUUUACAGUAUCCCCCACUGGUUUGGAACAAGGAGCCAGCUCUGGUGCAUCUUCAAUUGGAAAACCUUUAUACAUCCAGCUACCGUGGAUUUGAAAGGCAAAACAUAUGAGCUGCUGAGAAUAAACGCUGGAAGAUUUUAGAUGGAAGAUCUAUACCAAAAUUUAGGUCCCCUUCAAUGUGAUGGUCCUGGUGCUGAUCCUAAGGCUCUAACUCUGUGUUGAAGACCAGGAUUACAUGGGUCUGAUCAAGAAACGGCAAGAAUACCUUGACGAGGAUUGGAGUCCAUGUUUGCAUAUCCAAAACCAUCCAUGUUCACCUAUCUUCACUUUGGAUUGGAAGGAACCACUUGCUGGGAUUUGCUCCCAACUUUGAACGGUCAAUGCAGAAAAAAGUCCAAAUUCAAAGCUAAAGGGUGAAGGAAAUGCAGACAAGUCAUCACAAACAGAACAAGCCUGGGAACUUGCAUUGCACGCAAAGCUAACUGGAUCAGUAUUGCUGUAGAAAAAAUGGAAAAUGUCUUUAAUAUUAGACUUUGAAUAUUAGAAGUCGUUGGUCUGUGCGGAGUAUUAACCAUUUAUAGAUAUAUUCUUAAGCGACCAAGUUCCAAUCAA